Gossypium arboreum is the source of this 3071-nucleotide RNA transcript. It is a transcript of the gene named glutamine--fructose-6-phosphate aminotransferase [isomerizing] 1-like, with no coding region annotated. NCBI's taxonomy places the organism in Eukaryota, Viridiplantae, Streptophyta, Magnoliopsida, Malvales, Malvaceae. The record is from RefSeq and is a predicted model, not a curated record. The transcript has 12 exons.
CUGAUCUCUCCCAGAAAAACUGAGGGGAACAAAGAUCGAAUCAGAACCCAGAACAUUUUUGUCCUUCUUUCCUCAGAAUUUUGAUUUAUUUCUCCAAUUGGAAAAUUUGAGUAAAGGAAAUGUGUGGAAUAUUUGCGUAUUUGAAUUACAACGUUAACAGAGAAAGAAGGUAUAUUCUUCAAGUUCUCUUCAAUGGCCUUCGUCGUCUCGAGUAUCGAGGCUACGAUUCCGCUGGAAUUUCCAUCGAUGACUACUUCUCAGUUUCUCGCAAUCCAAACACCCCUCAACCAUCCUCCAUCAAUUCUCUCUCUUCUUCCCCUCUCGUUUUCCGCCAGGAAGGCAACAUCGAGUCCCUCGUCAAAUCCGUUUACCAAGAGGUAGCUGCAACAGAGUUGAACUUGGAGGAAUCCUUUACUACCCAUGCUGGUAUAGCACACACCAGAUGGGCUACCCAUGGGGUGCCUGCUCCAAGGAAUAGUCAUCCUCAGACUUCUGGCUCUGGGAAUGACUUCUUGGUUGUUCACAAUGGUGUUAUCACUAAUUAUGAGGUUUUGAAAGAGACCCUUGUUCGACAUGGAUUCACUUUUGAAUCUGAAACAGACACAGAAGUAAUACCAAAGCUUGCCAAAUUUGUCUUUGACAAAGCAAAUGAAGAAGGUGACCAGACUGUCACAUUCAGUCAAGUAGUACUUGAAGUUAUGAGGCAUCUUGAGGGAGCUUAUGCCCUCAUUUUCAAAAGUCGGCAUUAUCCAAAUGAGCUUAUUGCUUGCAAGCGUGGUAGUCCAUUGCUCUUAGGUGUCAAAGAAUUAAAUGAUGACGUCUGCAAUGGAUCAGCAUUUCAUGAUGCUAAAUUUCUCUCAAAAAAUGGCAAUCCUAAGGAACUUUUCUUAUCAAGUGAUGCAAAUGCAAUCAUUGAACACACAAAGAAAGUUCUGGUCAUCGAGGAUGGUGAAGUAGUUCAUCUUAAGGAAGGAGGUGUAUCAAUCCUAAAAUUUAAUAAUGACAAAGGAAGAAAUGGUGAUAGUCUUUCUGAUAGGCCUGCAUCAGUGCAACGUGCAUUAUCUAUUCUUGAAAUGGAGGUUGAGCAAAUAAAUAAGGGAAAAUACAAGCAUUAUAUGCAGAAAGAAAUUCAUGAACAGCCAGAAUCUCUGACAACUACCAUGAGAGGGAGGCUUCUACGUGGAGGUUCCUGCAAGGCUAAGACUGUUCUUUUGGGUGGACUGAAGGAUCACCUUAAAACAAUUAGGCGGAGCCGAAGGAUUGUAUUUAUUGGUUGUGGUACGAGUUACAAUGCUGCUCUAGCUGCUAGACCCAUCUUGGAAGAACUCUCAGGGGUGCCUGUUACAAUGGAAAUUGCUAGUGAUCUAUUAGAUCGGCAAGGUCCUAUAUACAGAGAGGAUACGGCAGUUUUUGUCAGUCAAUCUGGUGAAACGGCUGAUACAUUGCUUGCUCUAGAGUAUACGCUGGAAAAUGGUGCACUAUGUGUUGGCAUCACAAAUACUGUUGGGAGUGUAAUAGCUCGGAAUACACACUGCGGGGUUCAUAUAAAUGCUGGUUGUGAGAUUGGUGUUGCAAGUACCAAGGCAUAUACAAGUCAAAUAGUUGUGAUGGCCAUGUUAGCUUUGGCAAUUGGAGGUGACACAAUUUCUAAGCAAGAGAGGAGGGAGGCUAUAAUAGAUGGUUUAUUUGACCUGCCAAAUAAAAUCAGAGAGGUACUGAAGCUUGACCAGGAAAUGAAGGAUCUUGCAAAGCUAUUGAUUGCUGAACAGUCGCUUCUUGUCUUCGGGAGAGGAUACAAUUAUGCAACUGCUUUGGAAGGUGCUCUAAAAGUGAAGGAAGUUGCACUUAUGCAUAGUGAGGGGAUACUUGCUGGUGAAAUGAAGCAUGGUCCCUUGGCAUUAGUUGAUGAAAAUCUUCCUAUUGUUGUGAUUGCUACCCGUGAUGCUUGCUUCAGUAAGCAGCAGUCAGUUAUUCAGCAGCUACGUGCCCGGAAAGGACGCUUGAUAGUAAUGUGUUCAAAAGGAGAUGCUGCAUCAGUGUGUCCUGGAGGCGGCUGUCGAGUAAUUGAAGUUCCUCAGGUUGAGGACUGUCUUCAACCUGUGGUUAAUAUAGUUCCAUGUCAGUUACUUGCGUAUCAUCUCACUGUGUUAAGGGGAUACAAUGUUGACCAGCCUCGGAAUCUUGCAAAAAGCGUGACCACACAGUGAAGAAUGCUUACUGAUGAACUUCAAUCACGCACCUCUGUAAAUUAUUGGAGGGUGACACAGUACACAUUCUUUUGCCUCUUAUUUUUCCUUUUUCAAAUUAUUUUCAAGAUGAAUUAAUUACGUAUUUCUGAAUUAAAAGUAAUGAUGGUUUUAUCAUUUAUGCUUUCAGUUCCUGGAAAGACAUUCAUACUAAAAAUUUUGGGACUAUAUGACAUAAUGUUUGAUGAAAUGGCUCAAACCAGAAAUACAGCCAUUUUAUUAAUUCUUGGUCCUUUUCUUGAGUUCAAUCUUGUUAAAUAAAGCCAAUAACAGCGGGGAGAAUGUUUGAUUCACAGGUGUCGACAUCUAUAUUAAUGCGUUCUUUAAGCCAAUGAUAAAGCAGGUUACUUGAGAUAGUAAUUUUCUCAAACUCAGUUUGCUAGUAUCUCGCAGAAUCAGUGUGGACUUUCUUUUUUCCUUUUUUAAUCAAUACAAUAUUGGAGGCAAGGAUGGGAAUAAUAAUAAUAAUAUUUGAAUCUAUGUCAUCUAGGUGUUUGAGGGGAGUUUUGAUUACUACUCAAGUGCCGGCAGUUGGACAAGGAAUGAAUAGCUAAAAACUGAUGGGAGUGAGCAACCAAGGAAGUUUUUCUCAUACAUAUUUUUUGUAAGUGAAAAGUUCUUUUAAUUCUUUCUUGAAAGAAGUUGAGUUCCACCAAGUAGAUAUGGUGUCCUUUACGUAGGCAAUCUUAGUAGUUAAAAGACGAAAUGGUCACUAUUACAGGUGACAUUUUACAUGAGCUAAAACAAGCUAAUGGAUAAUCCCACUACUAGCUUUUACACGUGAAAAUAAAAACUGAGACAUAAAAUCCCAAAAUAUUGACACAA